CUUCCCCUAGCUGUGGGGAGGUUGAUGGUGUAGCUGGUGUUCCUAAUGGGACAUCAAUGUCUAAGGCCACCUGUGAGUAGAGUUUGUUCUUCAGGAGCAUACAGGACUAACUGGCGCCUCCCUUGUGCUCCUGUUUUAGGGGGCUGCAGACAGGAUGUGCUGGCUGGGACUGGUGCUGAGCUCCCAGACAUGAGGAUGGGAGAGCUGCAGCUCCAGUUCCCCCAUACAACAGCACUAUACAAAGUUGUCUUCUAAAAGACCUUACAUAAAGAAGCAGUGAAGGGUAUAAACUUUUCUCUUUUUAUUCUCUAUAAACCCAUAGAGGUUUCAAAGUCUUUGGGAAAAUGUCCAAAAAAAAGAAAUGAGGUGUUUAAUAGUA
Long non-coding RNA from Neopsephotus bourkii (Bourke's parrot), 379 nucleotides. RefSeq lists it as uncharacterized. NCBI's taxonomy places the organism in Eukaryota, Metazoa, Chordata, Aves, Psittaciformes, Psittacidae. The transcript has 2 exons. The record is from RefSeq and is a predicted model, not a curated record.